Molecule: ribosomal RNA, 258 nt
Filed under: uncultured prokaryote
Description: partial 16S ribosomal RNA
Rfam family: Bacterial small subunit ribosomal RNA
Source: RNAcentral
UACGUAGGGUGCUAGCGUUGUCCGGAAUUGCUGGGCGUAAAGAGCUCGUAGGUGGUUUGUCACGUCGUCUGUGAAAUUCCGGGGCUUAACCUCGGGCGUGCAGGCGAUACGGGCAAUACUUGAGUGCUGUAGGGGAGACUGGAAUUCCUGGUGUAGCGGUGAAAUGCGCAGAUAUCAGGAGGAACACCGAUGGCGAAGGCAGGUCUCUGGGCAGUAACUGACGCUGAGGAGCGAAAGCAUGGGUAGCGAACAGGAUUA